GAUGAACGCUGGCGGCGUGCCUAAUACAUGCAAGUCGAGCGAACGGACGAGAAGCUUGCUUCUCUGAUGUUAGCGGCGGACGGGUGAGUAACACGUGGAUAACCUACCUAUAAGACUGGGAUAACUUCGGGAAACCGGAGCUAAUACCGGAUAAUAUUUUGAACCGCAUGGUUCAAAAGUGAAAGACGGUCUUGCUGUCACUUAUAGAUGGAUCCGCGCUGCAUUAGCUAGUUGGUAAGGUAACGGCUUACCAAGGCAACGAUGCAUAGCCGACCUGAGAGGGUGAUCGGCCACACUGGAACUGAGACACGGUCCAGACUCCUACGGGAGCCAGCAGUAGGGAAUCUUCCGCAAUGGGCGAAAGCCUGACGGAGCAACGCCGCGGGAGUGAUGAAGGUCUUCGGAUCGUAAAACUCUGUUAUUAGGGAAGAACAUAUGUGUAAGUAACUGUGCACGUCUUGACGGUACCUAAUCAGAAAGCCACGGCUAACUACGUG
RNAcentral lists this ribosomal RNA (497 nucleotides) under uncultured bacterium. RNAcentral's name for it is "partial 16S ribosomal RNA". It matches the Rfam family "Bacterial small subunit ribosomal RNA", at positions 28 to 507 of the family's 1533-position model. The record is from RNAcentral.